RNAcentral lists this ribosomal RNA (828 nucleotides) under uncultured bacterium. RNAcentral describes it as "bacterial SSU rRNA". It matches the Rfam family "Bacterial small subunit ribosomal RNA", at positions 56 to 867 of the family's 1533-position model. The record is from RNAcentral.
UGCAAGUCGAGCGGUAGCACAAGGGAGCUUGCUCCCUGGGUGACGAGCGGCGGACGGGUGAGUAAUGUCUGGGAAACUGCCUGAUGGAGGGGGAUAACUACUGGAAACGGUAGCUAAUACCGCAUAACGUCGCAAGACCAAAGAGGGGGACCUUCGGGCCUCUUGCCAUCAGAUGUGCCCAGAUGGGAUUAGCUAGUAGGUGGGGUAAUGGCUCACCUAGGCGACGAUCCCUAGCUGGUCUGAGAGGAUGACCAUCCACACUGGAACUGAGACACGGUCCAGACUCCUACGGGAGGCAGCAGUGGGGAAUAUUGCACAAUGGGCGCAAGCCUGAUGCAGCCAUGCCGCGUGUGUGAAGAAGGCCUUCGGGUUGUAAAGCACUUUCAGCGAGGAGGAAGGUGGUGAGCUUAAUACGUUCAUCAAUUGACGUUACCCGCAGAAGAAGCACCGGCUAACUCCGUGCCAGCAGCCGCGGUAAUACGGAGGGUGCAAGCGUUAAUCGGAAUUACUGGGCGUAAAGCGCACGCAGGCGGUUUGUUAAGUCAGAUGUGAAAUCCCCGGGCUCAACCUGCGAACUGCAUUUGAAACUGGCAAGCUAGAGUCUCGUAGAGGGGGGUAGAAUUCCAGGUGUAGCGGUGAAAUGCGUAGAGAUCUGGAGGAAUACCGGUGGCGAAAGCGGCCCCCUGGACCAAGACUGACGCUCAGGUGCGAAGGCGUGGGGGAGCAAACGAGGAUUAGAUACUCCUGGUAGUCCACGCUGUAAAACGAUGUCUAUUUGGAGGUUGUGCCCUUGAGGCGUGGCUUACAGUAGCUAAGCACGUUAAAUCG